RNAcentral lists this ribosomal RNA (68 nucleotides) under Betaproteobacteria bacterium. RNAcentral's name for it is "partial 16S ribosomal RNA". It matches the Rfam family "Bacterial small subunit ribosomal RNA", at positions 1 to 68 of the family's 1533-position model. Lineage: Bacteria; Pseudomonadati; Pseudomonadota; Betaproteobacteria. The record is from RNAcentral.
AAACUUGAGAGUUUGAUCCUGGCUCAGAACGAACGCUGGCGGCAUGCCUAACACAUGCAAGUCGAACG